This is a long non-coding RNA of Sinocyclocheilus rhinocerous, 1382 nucleotides long. RefSeq lists it as uncharacterized. The record is from RefSeq and is a predicted model, not a curated record. NCBI's taxonomy places the organism in Eukaryota, Metazoa, Chordata, Actinopteri, Cypriniformes, Cyprinidae. The transcript is spliced from 4 exons.
CCUUCGCUAAGCCCCGCCCUCCUUAGUUACUGUUGCUACGCCUGACAAGCGUCCGCGCCUGGCACGUCUAUUACAGUAUGUAUGCACCGGUGUCAGACAUUCCCAAGGAGAUAAUUAGUCAUUUUUGGCGAACAGGUGAAAUAUCUGAGAAAGCAAGACAAAAGGGACUGCAGUAUGCAUUCGAGGGAUAUAUCCACGACAUAAUAUGCAACCGAUUAGAGAAUAAUUUCAUCAAAAUUGAAGCUAAAGCCUAUAGGUCCCAGCGCAAGCAGCAGCCGCCUCAUACGCUGACCAUUCAAAUGGGAAACACACAAAUUGAGGAACAGCUAUGUUCAUGCACAGCAGGCGCUAGGCUACUGCUCACACGUCGUGGGUCUAAUCUACGCCUUGGACCUGGCAAGAGCCAGAGAUGCUGAGCUGAGCCAUACAUCAUCAACAACACAAACAAAGUCCUCCUGCACGAGUCUACCACAACAGUGGCAAAAGCCAACGGGUAACAAAAUAAGGGCAGUGCCAAUAUCAUCGGUAGUUGUCGCUAAAGCCAAUGAAAACCGUAUGCGGCGACCAAUCGACUGUCGGUAUGCAGGAAGCAGGACCUUCUCAGGUACAGAGGAGAAAAUUGCUUUAUUAAAAAGGCAGACAGGAGCACCCAUCAGCUACUUGGUAAACAGACCCCCUGUUGACAUAACUGUAGGAGGAGAGAGAUACCCACUAGGAAGUGGUUUGAGCCAUCAGGGCAGUGCAGGACAGUGCACCACGUCAGCGUGAUCUUCCUUGACCACUCUGUAAACGGAUGUUAAAUCUGAAGGCUAGGUCUUUGUGGUCCAAAUUUUGUCUUAAUUUCAUUAAGGUCAGUAACAAUUGAGUACGCAGUGAAAGUUGUUUGAUCUCAUUAUUGACACGUUUGUAUGAGAGAGGAAUGUGUGUUUGUGGUGCACUUGGAUCAGUUGGAAUGUUAAAAAAUUGACACAAGCUGUUAAAUUGCUCAUAAGAAAACCCUGUGCAGUAGUGGAAAUAAUCAGGCACAUGGCUUUGGUUUAAAAUCUCAGGGUUUAAAGCAUCUGAGGUGUGUGCAUACUGAAGUUCCUUUUGAAGAUGAUGGAGUUGGCCAUCCUUUGCCUCGAGUUGAAGCUUCAGAUUUAUGAUGUCCUGCUUGUGAUUGGCUAAUGCGUCCUGCAGAGUUCUCAGUUCCUCUCCAUGGUCGCCCAUAUCAUGUUCUUCUGUAAAUGACAAAAAAGAGAAAGGAAACAUGGAAUGUUACUAAUUUAUGUUAUUUUCUUCUGUUUAACAGCUUCCUCUCCUUGACUCUGCAGGACCAUCAUCUGCGAACCAGCCGUCAAACGACUUCCCGGAUUUCCCUCUGCCAACACAGCCGUCAAAUU